UGGGUGGCGAGUGGCGGACGGGUGAGGAAUACAUCGGAAUCUACUCUGUCGUGGGGGAUAACGUAGGGAAACUUACGCUAAUACCGCAUACGACCUACGGGUGAAAGUGGGGGACCGCAAGGCCUCACGCGAUAGAAUGAGCCGAUGUCGGAUUAGCUAGUUGGCGGGGUAAAGGCCCACCAAGGCGACGAUCCGUAGCUGGUCUGAGAGGAUGAUCAGCCACACUGGAACUGAGACACGGUCCAGACUCCUACGGGAGGCAGCAGUGGGGAAUAUUGGACAAUGGGCGCAAGCCUGAUCCAGCCAUACCGCGUGAGUGAAGAAGGCCCUCGGGUUGUAAAGCUCUUUUGUUGGGAAAGAAAUCCUGUUGGCUAAUACCCGGCAGGGAUGACGGUACCCAAAGAAUAAGCACCGGCUAACUUCGUGCCAGCAGCCGCGGUAAUACGAAGGGUGCAAGCGUUACUCGGAAUUACUGGGCGUAAAGCGUGCGUAGGUGGUGGUUUAAGUCUGUUGUGAAAGCCCUGGGCUCAACCUGGGAAUUGCAGUGGAUACUGGAUCACUAGAGUGUGGUAGAGGGUGGCGGAAUUCCCGGUGUAGCAGUGAAAUGCGUAGAGAUCGGGAGGAACAUCCGUGGCGAAGGCGGCCACCUGGGCCAACACUGACACUGAGGCACGAAAGCGUGGGGAGCAAACAGGAUUAGA
This 701-nucleotide ribosomal RNA is filed under the name Pseudoxanthomonas suwonensis. RNAcentral describes it as "bacterial SSU rRNA". It matches the Rfam family "Bacterial small subunit ribosomal RNA", at positions 85 to 782 of the family's 1533-position model. The record is from RNAcentral. Lineage: Bacteria; Pseudomonadati; Pseudomonadota; Gammaproteobacteria; Lysobacterales; Lysobacteraceae.